GAUGAACGCUGGCGGCGUGCCUAAUACAUGCAAGUCGAGCGAACAGAUAAGGAGCUUGCUCCUUUGACGUUAGCGGCGGACGGGUGAGUAACACGUGGGUAACCUACCUAUAAGACUGGAAUAACUCCGGGAAACCGGGGCUAAUGCCGGAUAACAUUUAGAACCGCAUGGUUCUAAAGUGAAAGAUGGUUUUGCUAUCACUUAUAGAUGGACCCGCGCCGUAUUAGCUAGUUGGUAAGGUAACGGCUUACCAAGGCAACGAUACGUAGCCGACCUGAGAGGGUGAUCGGCCACACUGGAACUGAGACACGGUCCAGACUCCUACGGGAGGCAGCAGUAGGGAAUCUUCCGCAAUGGGCGAAAGCCUGACGGAGCAACGCCGCGUGAGUGAUGAAGGUCUUCGGAUCGUAAAACUCUGUUAUUAGGGAAGAACAAAUGUGUAAGUAACUGUGCACGUCUUGACGGUACCUAAUCAAAAAGCCACGGCUAACUACGUG
This 497-nucleotide ribosomal RNA is filed under the name uncultured bacterium. RNAcentral describes it as "partial 16S ribosomal RNA". It matches the Rfam family "Bacterial small subunit ribosomal RNA", at positions 28 to 507 of the family's 1533-position model. The record is from RNAcentral.